Dicentrarchus labrax (European seabass) is the source of this 721-nucleotide long non-coding RNA. RefSeq lists it as uncharacterized. The record is from RefSeq and is a predicted model, not a curated record. Lineage: Eukaryota; Metazoa; Chordata; Actinopteri; Moronidae. The transcript is spliced from 3 exons.
UGCGCAACACUAGUCCUCUAUGACCAUAAAGUAAAUAGUUUUGGGUUGUGGACAAAAGUCAAUUAAUCAAUUAUUUGUCAACUAUUACAUUCAACAGGAACCAGUUCGAUAAUUGAUUAAUAGUUUUGAUUUAGUUUUUAUGUCCAAAUUCUCUCACUUCAGUUAAUGAGAGUAAAAUAAAUAUCUUUAAAUUUCGGACAAAACAAGACAUUUGUGGACAUAUAAAGGAUAUUUUAUGGAUCAAACACCUAAUCAAUUAAAUGAGAAAAUGAUCAGAUUAAUCAAUAAUAAUAAAAAAUAAUAAUCAUUAGCAGUAUCCAGUAUUUUAAUUUUAAUAGAUUUAUUUUAGGGGUAUUUUGUUUCAAGAUACAUUACGUAACCUCUGCACACGACCCUGAGCUACCUGGCGGUCUCACUGAGGGCCGUGUGCAGCUCAUUUGCAUAACACCACCUGGACGUCACGAUGAUGGACUAACAAGGACCUGGAGAUGUACUUUUAUCUGGAUUUAAAGAAGUGUUUUGGGCGUCAGGACGUCUUCAGGCCUGACUUGCAGCCACCAGUUCAGCUUCAUCACCUGGCCAUGAUGAAGGAUCACACUUGGAGGUGCUGGCAUGCAGUUACUGGAAUAAAAAAGAGUUCCCACAUCUCCUGAAAGGUGUGAUCCUCGAACCCUUUCUGGCCGUAGAUACACCUGUCGACGUUGGCCUCGAGGAGACUGGA